This is a non-coding RNA of Triticum aestivum (bread wheat), 125 nucleotides long. Lineage: Eukaryota; Viridiplantae; Streptophyta; Magnoliopsida; Poales; Poaceae. The record is from Rfam.
UAAAUACUCCGUCCUUCAAGAAAUACUUUUUGGAGAAAUAUAUGUAUCUAGACGUAUUUUAGUUCUAGAUACAUCCAUUUUUAUCCAUUUCUCCAACAAGUAUUUCUGGACUGAAGGAGUAGUAA